UCGGGAAAUUUUGGGCAUGGGCGAAAGCCUGACCCAGCAACGCCGCGUGAAGGAUGAAGUAUUUCGGUAUGUAAACUUCGUAAGAAUAGGAAGAAUAAAUGACGGUACUAUUUGUAAGGUCCGGCUAACUACGUGC
This 136-nucleotide ribosomal RNA is filed under the name uncultured bacterium. Its description in RNAcentral is "partial 16S ribosomal RNA". It matches the Rfam family "Bacterial small subunit ribosomal RNA", at positions 354 to 508 of the family's 1533-position model. The record is from RNAcentral.